AGCCACCCUGACCCUGCAGCUCUGCACAGGAGCCCAGCCCUGGACUCCAGCUCAUCCCACUCAGUGGUCAGGACUCAACACAGGCUGCUCACCAUGGAGAGUGUGCUCAGCUGGGUUUUCCUUGUGGCUGUUUUCAAAGGUGUGCAGUGUGAGGUGCAGCUGGUGGAGUCUGGGGGAGGCCUGGUGCAGCCUGGGGGUUCCCUGCGACUCUCCUGUGCAGCCUCUGGAUUCACCUUCAGUAGCUCCUACAUGAACUGGGUCCGCCAGGCUCCAGGGAAGGGGCUGGAGUGGGUUGCUGUUAUAAGAACCAAAGCUAAUAGUUACACCACUGAAUAUGGAGCAUCUGUAAAAGGCCGAUUCACCAUCUCCAGAGACGACGCAAAGAACACGCUGUACCUGCAAAUGAGCAGCCUGAGAGCCGAGGACACGGCCACCUAUUACUGUGCCAGAGAUUUCCCCUACUGGGGCCAGGGCACCCUGGUCACCGUCUCCUCAGAGCCCAUGACCAAGCCCAGAGUCUUCCCGCUGAGUGGCCUUCGGGCCGAGUCAAAUAACCAAGUGAUCCUCGGCUGCCUGGUUCGGGACUUCUUCCCUUCGGGGCCUGUGAACGUGACCUGGAGCAAGAGUGGAGAGGACGUGACCGUCAUUAGCUUCCCGCCUGCCCAGGCCACAGGGGGCCUGUACAUCAUGAGCAGCCAGCUGACCCUGCCAGCCUCCCAGUGCCCAGAGGACACGUCCCUGACAUGCUACGUGCAGCACACCUUAAACCCCACCCAGGACGUGGCCGUGCCCUGCGAAGGUCCAAGGCCGAAUCUAUGCACAUGUGGCCAACCCCACCUGUCCCUGCACCGGCCGGCCCUUGAGGACCUGCUCUUGGGCUCUGACGCCAGCCUCACGUGCACACUGAGUGGCCUGAGGAACCCGGAGGGGGCCGUCUUCACCUGGCAGCCCUCGGGCGGGAAGGACGCCAUCCAGAAGUCCCCUGAGCGUGACUCCUGUGGCUGUUACAGCGUGUCCAGCAUCCUGCCAGGCUGUGCCGAGCCCUGGAACCGCGGGCAGGUCUUCACGUGCACAGCCACGCAUCCUGAGUCCAGCAAUGCGCUGACCGCCACCAUCAGCAAAGCCUCAGAGAACACCUUCCGGCCCCAGGUCCACCUGCUGCCGCCGCCGUCGGAGGAGCUGGCCCUGAACGAGCUGGUGUCGCUCACGUGCCUGGUGCGGGGCUUCAGCCCUGAGGACGUGCUGGUGCGCUGGCUGCACGGGAACCAGGAGCUGCCCAGCAGCGACUACCUGACCUGGAGUCCCCUGAAGGAGCCCGAGCAGGGCCCCACCACCUUCGCCGUGACCAGUGUGCUGCGUGUGACGGCUGCGUCCUGGAAGCAGGGGGACAACUUCUCCUGUAUGGUGGGCCACGAGACCCUGCCCAUGGCCUUCACCCAAAAGACCAUCGACCGCCAGUCGGGUAAACCCACCCACGUCAACGUGUCCGUGAUCAUGGCCGAGGCUGAUGGCACCUGCUACUGAGCCGCCCUGCCCCAGCCCUUGAAUAAACUCCAUGCUCGUCGCA
Molecule: non-coding RNA, 1567 nt
Organism: Sciurus carolinensis (gray squirrel)
Lineage: Eukaryota; Metazoa; Chordata; Mammalia; Rodentia; Sciuridae
Source: the annotation of a RefSeq genome assembly